AGGAGGAACAGCCCCAGUGGCCGGGCAGCUCUGGAAACCUGGAUUCAGCUCCGGCAGGAACUCCGUCUGCAGGGCCUGGAGGCUCCGGGGCGGG
This 94-nucleotide microRNA precursor is filed under the name Canis lupus familiaris (dog). Its description in RNAcentral is "mir-8834 microRNA precursor family". It matches the Rfam family "mir-8834 microRNA precursor family". The record is from Rfam by way of RNAcentral. RNAcentral also lists the same sequence under 1 other name. Lineage: Eukaryota; Metazoa; Chordata; Mammalia; Carnivora; Canidae.